GACGAACGCUGGCGGCGUGCUUAACACAUGCAAGUCGAACGGAAAGGCCCCUUUGGGGGUUCUCGAGUGGCGAACGGGUGAGUAACACGUGAGUAACCUGCCCUUGACUUCGGGAUAACUUCAGGAAACUGGGGCUAAUACCGGAUAGGAAUCCUUGCUGCAUGGUGGGGGUUGGAAAGCUUCGGCGGUUUUGGAUGGACUCGCGGCUUAUCAGCUUGUUGGUGGGGUAGUGGCUUACCAAGGCUUUGACGGGUAGCCGGCCUGAGAGGGCGACCGGCCACACUGGGACUUAGAGACGGCCCAGACUCCUACGGGAGGAAGCAGGGGGGAAUAUUGCACAAUGGGCGGCAGCCGGAUGCAGCAACGCCGCGUGCGGGAUGACGGCCUUCGGGUUGUAAACCGCUUUCAGCAGGGGCGAAGCUUGUGGUGACGGUACCUGCAGAAGAAGCACCGGCUAACUACGUG
RNAcentral lists this ribosomal RNA (465 nucleotides) under uncultured bacterium. RNAcentral's name for it is "partial 16S ribosomal RNA". It matches the Rfam family "Bacterial small subunit ribosomal RNA", at positions 28 to 507 of the family's 1533-position model. The record is from RNAcentral.